RNAcentral lists this ribosomal RNA (483 nucleotides) under uncultured bacterium. RNAcentral describes it as "partial 16S ribosomal RNA". It matches the Rfam family "Bacterial small subunit ribosomal RNA", at positions 29 to 507 of the family's 1533-position model. The record is from RNAcentral.
AUUGAACGCUGGCGGAAUGCUUUACACAUGCAAGUCGAGCGGCAGCGCGGCCUUCGGGCUGGCGGCGAGCGGCGAACGGGUGAGUAAUGCAUCGGAACAUGCCCAGUCGUGGGGGAUAACACUUCGAAAGAAGUGCUAAUACCGCAUACGUCCUGAGGGGGAAAGCGGGGGAUCGCAAGACCUCGCGCGAUUGGAGUGGCCGAUGUCAGAUUAGCUAGUUGGUGGGGUAAAGGCCUACCAAGGCGACGAUCUGUAGCUGGGCUGAGAGGAUGAUCAGCCACAGGGGGCCUGAGCACCGGCCCAGGGCCCUAGGGGAGGCACAGGUGGGGAAGUUUGGAAGAGGGGGGAAACCCUGACCAAGCCAUCCGGGGGGGGUGAAGAAGCCCUGCGGGUGGGAAAGCUCUUUCGGGGGGAACAAAAGGGUGGGCCCUAAAAGAGUCCGCAAAUGAGGGAACCGGAAAAAAAAGCACGGCUAACUUAGGG